RNAcentral lists this unclassified non-coding RNA (335 nucleotides) under soil metagenome. RNAcentral's name for it is "partial contains 5.8S ribosomal RNA, internal transcribed spacer 2, and large subunit ribosomal RNA". The stretch from base 1 to 120 matches the Rfam family "5.8S ribosomal RNA", at positions 35 to 154 of the family's 154-position model. The record is from RNAcentral.
GAUGAAGAACGUAGCGAAAUGCGAUAAGUCAUGUGAAUUGCAGAAUUCAGUGAAUCAUCGAAUCUUUGAACGCACAUUGCGCCCGCCAGUAUUCUGGCGGGCAUGCCUGUUCGAGCGUCAUUUCAACCAUCAAGCUCCCGGGCUUGCGUUGGGGCCCUGCGGCUGCCGCAGCCUCCCAAAACCAGUGGCGGGCUCGCUAUCACACCGAGUGCAGUAGUUUACUCUUCGCUCAGGGCGUGUGGCGGGUGCUAGCCGUGAAACCCCCAACUUCUCAAGGUUGACCUCGGAUCAGGUAGGAAUACCCGCUGAACUUAAGCAUAUCAAUAAGCGGAGGA